This 2557-nucleotide long non-coding RNA is filed under the name Coffea arabica (coffee). RNAcentral describes it as "long non-coding RNA (CARA_LNC007814)". Lineage: Eukaryota; Viridiplantae; Streptophyta; Magnoliopsida; Gentianales; Rubiaceae. The record is from RNAcentral.
CUAAAUAAUAGACUAAUGCCUUUCUUUUCUCCGUGGUCCCCGCACAAUUGAGAGCAAAAGUCCUCCCAAAGCUUCCCGCACCAACCGAGGCUUUCCUUCUUGUUUUGUUUCCUAUUACUUGUAGAACUCCAAUCUCCUAAUCAGCAAAGGAAAUGCAAUCUCUUUGUAGCACCAUGUGAGACCGGUUGUUUGAAAUCUCAAUUAUCUCCAAAAAGUCCCUCAUUUUUGUAGUUUUCUGCUCCAUUCCCUGAAAUUGAGUCCAAUACCAAAUAUAAGUAAAUAUUAAUAAUUAAAACAAUAUUUGGCAAGGAUAAAGGAGGAAAUUAACAAUAAAAUAACCAACAAUUAACACCCUAUCACUUUACUAUGAGUGAGUCCUAAAGGCAACAUGAUUCUUCCUAAUCACAUAAUUUUCCUAAAUAUUGGAGCUUAGACCAACAUAUUGGCAUCAAUUCCUCGAUUCAUAGGAAUGGUAAUGUAAAAUAAUUAUAAUUACAUGGGAAACACUUGUUCAUUGGUACAAUCAAUUGAUAUGUAUUGUUUGCUCCCGAUAACAUUGGUCAUUAGUACAAUCAACGUUAACGCAUAUAAAGCCAUUGAAUUGUUGUAUUUAAGAAGGACCAUGUCUAGCCAUGCCCGAAAAUGGAAAAACAAGCAGAAUCUUUGAUUUUAUGGCAGAAGAUGGAAGCUACUCAAAAGUAAUGAACUUGCUAUUCUCCACCAAAUUCCUUAAUUAGUCAUGAAACAAGAAUUGCGUUCAAAGAUGUCUAAGGAAGAAUGAAUAAAUAAAUAAAUAAACAAUCCGAAGCUAAAACUAAAGUAGACUCCACAAAGCAAUAUGUAUAAUCCGGUUGCAUUCAGAAAGGAAAAAAUAGAAAUUAAAAAGCACAAUACCCAAAAAGAAAAAGAGAGAGAGAGAGAGAAUUUAAUCUUGUUGGUGAAGUAUUAAUGUAUUAUUGAACUUGAGAUUGGAAGCUGGAAAAAAGGGAGUUGUAAGAACGGUAAACAAAAAGUUUAAGCAGGAAAAAGUAAAAAUAGAAAUAGAGUACCUGUUGAUUUCGAGUGAAGGUACGUGACUAAUUUUAUCAUAAUCUGGAUAUUGUUCAUCAUUCGUUAUUGGAAGUCUAAUUGUGACUUGAGGCAAAUUCACAAGUUAUAGUUGAUUUAGGGUAGUUGUCAAUCUCAAUCCAUCUGAAAUCAUUUCCAAAAUUUUACAAUUUUGAAGAUGCAAACUUAAAAGCUUAGGUAUGGCCCCUUCAUCCGCCUUCCGCUUCUUUAACUUAGGCAAACAUGAUGUUUCAGCUAAUGAAAUCCCGUUGAGUGCCAAAUCAUUUCUUGGUCUAAAAAAGAGUUUUGCAAGUUGGGAAGCUUUUCCAGUGUUUCUGUUGGUCCGCCACAAUAAUGGUGUGGAACAGCUCCAAUACACGGCUAGUGGACAUGUGGGGCUGGUAAUCCUGUAAACGCUUACUUGAAGUACCAUAAUAUUCCAACCAUACAACACCCCUUCAACAACAGCCAAACCCUUGUUGUGUUAUUCAAGCCGUUGGAGUCGAUCAAAAAUUGUACUUCCAAAUUUCGGGCGAGGCGAUGCGUUUGAAAUUGAUAAGUGUUUGUCUUUAUAUCAUUUGUGUGUGCCAGGUUUUAGUGUGUUUGAAGUACUUUUGAUUCCUAUAAGAGUAUUAAUGCUAGUUUUGAUGAGAUUUUGUGUCUAUUGGGGAUUGAAUGAAAAACUUGAUUAUUUCAUUUUACUCACAAAAGCUGUGUUUUUGUAAGGAUUAAUGAUCGAGCAGUGGUUUGGAGUGAAUUUCAUAUUUAUUGGAUGGUUCAAGGAUGAUUUAGUGUGCUCGAGAAGUCACAAGUAAGUACGAGUAAGCUUGCGUGACAAAUGAAAAGGAAAAAACAAUGAAACUGGAAAACCCUUGGAUCUGGCCUUGGAUCCUCACUUGACAGAAGAUGAUCCAAGCAGAGGAUCCAAGGUAGAAAGAUACGAAGAAGUGCCCCCACGAUGAUCCAACCGUGAAUCUGUUGAAGCUAGUUGCGAAUCCCAAUUGUGGAUCGUAGUAGAGCAAAAUUGGAGAAGCAAAUCCAACACUGGAUCCUAGAUAAGCAGGCAUCGAUCCAGCACCAAAUUGAAGACAGAAUCAAACUUGAAAAACAGAACACUGGAUCCAACCCUGUUUGGACCAGAUUCGAAGAUGGAUCCUGCAACGGAUCUAUAUGGCUGUUUGGAGCAAUUAGGGUUUUGUGUCAAUUUUUUUUCUAUCUUUUUACCACCCUAUAAAUAGUAACUUAUGGGAGUGGUGCUAAGCUUUUGGAGGCACACUUUGAUGACACAAAAGUAGCUAGUUUUUACCUACAAAAACAUCUAGAGAAUUUAAGGUUUUCACCAUAACUUUUGUAGUUGCUUAGUGGGGAGAUAUUCUUGCAACUUUUGCAUCUGAAGACAAAAUUGCAAGAGAAGCUUGACGAGCUUUAUUUCUACUAUUGGAAUAAAUAUUUCUUCAACAUUAACUCUUAAGGUGUCCGCUGCAACUUUUGUAGUUGCUUAGUGGUGAGG